This is a non-coding RNA of Pelodiscus sinensis (Chinese soft-shelled turtle), 319 nucleotides long. NCBI's taxonomy places the organism in Eukaryota, Metazoa, Chordata, Testudines, Trionychidae. The record is from RefSeq and is a predicted model, not a curated record.
CAGGAUCAAUUUCCUAUGCAAAUUUUCUGCUGUGGACCAUAGUUCAGAAUACCAUCUUCAGGAUGCCAUGAAGAAAUAGCAGGACUUUUGACUGUCUAAAAGGGCUACAGACACCUAUUGCCCCCCACCCAGAGCUCCCUGCUGAAGAGGAGAAGGAUUAACAGCAGCUGCAGGAGGAGGAAGACACAGCCAGCACAGUCAUCCUGACCCUGGAGCUGGUAUCCCAGGCCCUAAAUGUCUUGCAGGCAUCCUCUGAGGAUGGAGAGGGAUCAUCAGACUUGGCCUUUCGAUCCAGAAAUGAGUAAUCUGACUAGCAGUA